CUUUUUGGGCUUAACUUCUAUCUGUUACAUUAGUAAUACGUUUGCUUAUAAUGUUGAUUUAUAGCCGUAGCAAAUUUAACUGCUUGUGCUAUCGUUUAUUAUGUUGUGCUAUCUGUCGAUUUCUGUGCUUUUCACUGCAUCUAUUAUGUAAAGCUGCUUUGAUACAAUUACCAAAUUGUGAAAAGCGCUAUAUAAAUAAAAUUGAAUUGAAUUGAAUUGAAUCAUAAUUACAUUUAAAAUAUCUCCAAAUUAUUACUACGCUCAUUAUGUACUCUGCUGCUUAUGUUGUCCUCACCGUUGACUUUUUUUCUGCUUUUAUUAAUGUAAAGCUGCUUUGAAACAAUGAAACAAUUGUGAAAAGCGCUUUAUAAAAAUAAAUAAAAAUUGAAUUGAAUAAAUAGAUGAGCUAUUAAUAAUAAUCAAUUUAAUUUAUAAAGUGCCUUUCAAAGGACCCAAGGUCACUUGCUCAUUGCACUGCAAAAAAAUGACUUUCUUCGUGUGUUUGUCUUGCUUUCAGUUAAAAUAUCAAGAAAUUCUUGAAUUAAGAUGUAUUAAAAGUUUUCUUGAAAUAUACUUUUUCAUAAACACUUAAUUUAAAACAAAUGUUCAUAUUCCAUUGGCUAAUUUUUUUCCUUAUUUUCCUAUGUCAUGUUGCUCAUCAAGAAAAUGCAUCUUAAUUUAAGAAUUUUUUGAUAUUUUUACUGAAAACAAGAAAAAAAUACAAAGUAAGUCAUUUUUGCAGUGUGACACCAUUGAAUGUUCUUGUGGGAUAAAGAAAGUCUCUCUUUUUGUGUGUUGUGUGUGUGAUGUAGAUUAAAUAUGACCGGGCCAAAACGGACAUGGCAGCAGGUCAAAAUCAAAUACAAAAACAUUCUGCAGAAUGCAGUGAAAAAGAAUACCCAGAGACAAGGCACGGGUGGUGGGUCACCAAAAGCUGACCUCACCCCAGCAGAGGCUUGGACUGUCUGACUUUGGUUUGCCUAUUGCCUUGCAGUGUCUGGCAGCACUGUGUUACUAUAAAAGCCACCAGUACGAGCACCAGACGAUGCUGAUCCAGUGAGUACUCCAUCAAAGGCAUACUAUAGGCCUGGCACGUCUUGUUUACUAGCUUCAAUAGUAAUCCGAGUAAAUGUGAAAGGGUUUAAGGCCCAAUUUCAUAAGCACAUAACGGUGAUGAUGAUGAGGAGACAAUCUCUCUGGAUUCCAAAAGGCAUAAGGACCCAGUGUCAUUGGUGUACUGGACUGCACACACAUAAGGAUAAAAGCCCCCUCAGGUGCCCAUGAGGCAGAUUUUGUAAAUAUGAAAUCUUUUUACAGCAUUAAUGUUCAGGUGAACAUAACUUUUUGAUCUUUUCCAUUGAACCCUGGCAAAAUGGCCUGACUCAGUCCAUGACUCCAGAAUCUUUCGGACCUCUGAAAUCUAUCAGCGCCUAUCACAAGGUGAAUUCUCUGGUGUGUUGCUGGGAGACAGGGGGUAUGGCUGCCAGCCACACCUUUCACAGACCCCCAGGAAGCACAGCAGGCCUACAACUAUGCCCAUGCCAGGACCAGAGUUGAAAUGACCUUUGGCCUCCUGAAGGCACACUCUCACUGCUUUCACAAAUUAAGGGUCAGCCAUGUGAGGGCAUGUGACAAUACUGUGGCUCGUGGUGUCCUCCACAAUGUGGCCUGCCUGAGGAAGGAGAGGGCCAUGGACUGGGACAAUCUGGAAAUCUUCCCUGAUGACAACAGUGGUCGGCUGCUGAGGGACCAAUAUGUGUUGAAUUAUUUUAGUUUGUAUGCGUGCUUUCAAUUAUUAUUAUUUUUUAUUUGGCCUCUUUAUACUGUUUGUAAUACAAGCUUGCAGGGAGGCUACUGCAUCCAUUAAUUUGUCUGUUCAGUUAGUGUGUGUAUGGAUUUGUCCUGCAUUUAUUUCAGUGUGCAGACAUGCAGGGUGUGUUAUAUACAGACCUUUGAAUGUGUAUUUAUCCUUUGGUUGUAUAAUAUGCUCUGAUUCUGUGCUUUCCAUCUUGUAAAGUCACAAUGUGACUUCAGUUUAGAAAGGAGCUGAUGGUUUACCUGCUUUGUUUUGU
This is a long non-coding RNA of Misgurnus anguillicaudatus (oriental weatherfish), 2072 nucleotides long. RefSeq lists it as uncharacterized. The record is from RefSeq and is a predicted model, not a curated record. Lineage: Eukaryota; Metazoa; Chordata; Actinopteri; Cypriniformes; Cobitidae.